This 209-nucleotide long non-coding RNA is filed under the name Elaeis guineensis (African oil palm). RNAcentral's name for it is "long non-coding RNA (EGUI_LNC039713)". Lineage: Eukaryota; Viridiplantae; Streptophyta; Magnoliopsida; Arecales; Arecaceae. The record is from RNAcentral.
GCUUCAGAAUAGUAGCAACUAUGUCUAGAAAUAUGUCCAUAGGAUAAGAGCAAUCAAUAGUAACUUUUCUGACUAGUCUCUUGUAUAGUGCUUUGAUCAUAGUUUUAGCUUUGAUGUUGAUGUUUCGUAUGAUAAGUAUUGGUCAGUACCACUCCAUUGCAAGAUAGAGAUAUAAUUCUCUAAAUUUUUUUUGGCUUCAUAAGGUUGCA